Lolium perenne is the source of this 2365-nucleotide long non-coding RNA. RefSeq lists it as uncharacterized. The record is from RefSeq and is a predicted model, not a curated record. NCBI's taxonomy places the organism in Eukaryota, Viridiplantae, Streptophyta, Magnoliopsida, Poales, Poaceae.
ACGAGAUGACGACGUUAGCAAGGUUACCCUUCCGGCUUGGCCUGGCAGGGUUAUGGACGCCACUGGUUAUCUUCAGGACUCUUAGUCCAAUUUGCAUCUUGUCCGUACUCGGAUGUAUCUGAUCUUCUGUAUGAUUUGGAUCUUUGUAUGUAUCUAUUUGUAUCUUGACUCGUUGGAGUCGUUGUUGUAAUAUAUGUAUCUUGUGGGCUCUAUUGUAAUCCUGUUGUAAUGUUACCGCUCGUGUUAAUUCCUCUGGCAUCACGUGUGUGAUUCUUCGCGCACGUCGUGUCGGAGGGCGUCUCUGAAUCGAUAUCAUGCGGAUUUCGGCGGGUUCGCUGGGAUCCUCAUGGUACCGGUUCCGGGGCGUCACAAGUUGGUAUCAGAGCCUCAGGUUAACGGUACCCUACUAGUCCAGCCUGUAGGAUAACCUUGCCAACGGACGUUGUGUCUAGUGUCAAAACUAUUUUCUAAAAUUCCGUUGGAUAGAUCUGAUUAGCUCUGAUUUUUCUCCUUACCUCUAUUCUUUCCCCUCUUACCUUUGCGAGUUUUGUGUCUUCUCUCUUAUCCGAUUUUCUCUGAGUCUUAGGUUUCGACGUGGGUUGGACGAUCUAUGCCUUUCACCUAAUAGGAAUGAUCUCUGAAGACCUUCCGCCAGAAGAACAUCAACGUCGGCUAACUUUUUUCUUCUCCGUUGACAUCUUCUUUGUUUUCUGUGAUCUCUCUACAAUUCUUUGUGCCUUGGCCCCGUCGAACCUUCGCAGACAACGCUUAUCAAGAUCGCCAAUCUAAAUUCCGGGAGUGGAUUGCAUGAUUCUCCUAAUUGUGUGCCGAGUAAUGCUUUGGGUGCGGGAUGGAGUAGCUACCAUACCGACUACUCUUAUCAUUGCUUUUGCUACAUUGAAAUUGGUGGAUCCAUGUGACUGUUACUCCUUCCUCUCUUUCUCCGGAGUCGUGAUCAUCGAUGUGAGCAACAACCCUUGUUGGUGGUGUCGCCCGUUUUACAUGGAGCAAGAACUCUUGUUAAUGGUGUCGAGGAGAUCGACACGUCGCCUGAAGACCCGAUAGUUCACCUCUCUCCCCCGUACCUUGGCGUGGGAUCUCGGGGCGCGAUCCCUUGUUAGUGGUGUCGAUUGUAACGGCCCAGUAUAAUACCCCUCUAUUAGUUUGUUGGUUGUUUUUUUUUGUUCGUGCAUCAUAAGCAUCAUAUGCAUCUUAUCAUGUCACCUUUGUUUUAUAAAAGUUGCAUCAAAUCUUGUUCUUCUGUUCUUGUUGGCUUUCUCCCUCUCUCUUGCUUUUCUAAUCCAAGCCCCAACCUUAAAUCUUCUUAUCCUUCUCCCCUGUGAUGUUCCAAAACUAAAACCCUAUUUAUGGUUUUGCCAAAAUUCUUAUACAAGGGUUAUAUUAAACCUUCCUCUCUCACUCUCUUAUAUUUUUUCUGAAUCCUAUUUUUUGUACCAAAACCUUUGUAAUUUGGAAAGUUGUUUUGUUUGAAAACUUGCAGAUACUUCUAAGUUUUUGUUUACAAACUCCCUCCCUAUUUUCAGAUUCAAAGACAAAAAUAUAAAAGAAAUAAAAGAAACAGUUUUAUAUGAAAGAAAAAGGGGAAAACCUAUCCUAUCUUUUUCUACCCGGAGGCCACCACAGCCCAUGAAGCCCGGCCAGGCUGCUCCUCUGCUUUCCUUCUCCCAGUCUCCCAGCAAGUGAAUGAUGGCACGGAGGAAGCCCCUUCUCCACACGCUCCUCCCACCUGCUCCUCCCCUCCACCCCCUUCAAGCAAACCCUACCCUGCUCCUCCCCCUUGACGCCGCCGCCCCAUCUUCUAUCCCCUCCACAAAAGGCUUCAGGGAAAGACAUCGAGAGAAGUUCGGAAAAUUCAGAACUUUCAGCCACUGAGUUCGCCGGAGAUAGAUCGCCGCCGCGGACCUCGCCGCCGUCGCCCACUUUUUCUAUACCGACGGUCGUCACGCGCCUCUGCUUCCUCUUCAUCGUCUACGUCGUCCUCGAGCUCGAGCACCUCGACAUCUUCGUCUUGGCAUUUGCUUCUUCCCGGAUAGGAUCAUGAAGUGGUGUUGUGAGAUACGACAAGUUCUUCUGCAGCUUUUCACAGGCGAGCCCACCCCUUCACCUAUUUUACUUUUACAUGCUCUUUUGAUCUAUUGCUAUCCUUGUGUUGCGAUUCUGUUGUGUCACGUGUCCUAUCCACCUGUUACCUAUAUGUCCGAGAUACACCUCCUCGCCCUACCUAUUGUUUGUUGUUUGCCAGCUUUGCGAGUCGUAGGCGAGUUUAGGGUCUUGUUGAUAUCUCGAGAUGUUCGGGAUAUCUUGUUGGGAGGUUAUCACAUGCUAUAUCUUUUGUUGGAGAUAA